CAGAGCCCCGUCGGCGUGGGGACACGUAGCUGGUGGGAUCGCGCCAUGGCCUGGGCCCCUCUGCUCCUCGUGGUGCUCGCCCACGGCUCAGGUUCCCUGGUCCAGGCAGCACUGACGCAGCAGCCGGCCUCGGUGUCCGUGUCCCCGGGAGAAACCGCCCGCAUCACCUGCUCUGGGGGUAGCAGUGACUACUAUGGCAGCUACUACUAUGGCUGGAUCCAGCAGAAACCUGGUGGUGCCCCGGUCAUUGUGAUAUACAACAACAACCAGAGACCCUCGGGCAUCCCUGCGCGAUUCUCCGCUUCCACGUCUGGCUCCACAAACACGUUAACCAUCACUGGGGUGCAAGCCGAGGACGAGGCCGUGUAUUACUGUGGUGGCUAUGCUGGUAGUUGGACUGAUGCCACGGUGCCCCCGAUCAAGGGGGAAGUGAGACUCAAACCCGGGAGCAGGUGGGGCAGUGUGUGGAGCUGAAAGCUGCUGCGUGUCCUGGGGAAAGCUUUGCCAAUUUUCUGCUCCCCGAGGCUGAGCUCCCCGCCGGGCCCGGCACUGCAGCAUCAGAGCUGAUGUUGGUGCGUGUGGCUGGUGUGCGCAGGUUUGCCAGGCCUCGCUGAGCCCCCAGGCAGGCUGCGGGUGGGCAGGAAGAGGUGGGCAGCCUCAGCCGCUUGCUUGCCUACUGGUUUGACUCAGCUGUCCUCAGUGUCUGUGUCUCCAGAGGAACUGCCCAGGUCU
Molecule: non-coding RNA, 732 nt
Organism: Dromaius novaehollandiae (emu)
Lineage: Eukaryota; Metazoa; Chordata; Aves; Casuariiformes; Dromaiidae
Source: the annotation of a RefSeq genome assembly